AAAAUACUCCCUCCGUCCGAAAAUACUUGUCAUCAAAAUGGACAAAAAGGGAUGUAUCUAGAAAUUAAAUAUAUUUAGAUACAUCCCCUUUUAUUCAUUUGGAUGACAAGUAUUUCUAGACGGAGGAGUACUAC
This is a non-coding RNA of Triticum aestivum (bread wheat), 134 nucleotides long. Lineage: Eukaryota; Viridiplantae; Streptophyta; Magnoliopsida; Poales; Poaceae. The record is from Rfam.